AUACUCUGGUUUCUCUUCAGAUCAUACAAAUCUUUUGCCUUUUACUAAAGAUUUCCAUGGAGAGAAACAACUCUGAGUCUAAACCCAAUUUUUUAAAGCCUUGCACAUAGCAAGGUU
Molecule: small nuclear RNA, 117 nt
Organism: Nannospalax galili (Upper Galilee mountains blind mole rat)
Lineage: Eukaryota; Metazoa; Chordata; Mammalia; Rodentia; Spalacidae
Gene: U5
Rfam family: U5 spliceosomal RNA
About the family: U5 RNA is a component of both types of known spliceosome. The precise function of this molecule is unknown, though it is known that the 5' loop is required for splice site selection and p220 binding, and that both the 3' stem-loop and the Sm site are important for Sm protein binding and cap methylation.
Source: Ensembl